UCUUACCAUCUUGUUUACUCUCCACAGGCUGCAGGUGAUCCAGGAACAUGGUUCAGAUGGGUCACAGCACUUCUGGCUUCUGUAUCCUCACCAAUACUCAAUGAUUUUAUGUCUAGUGCUUCAUAAGUUACAAGACACCUGGAAUUAGGUAGUAAGUAUUUUUCUUUCUUUAGUGUGAGUCUAUAAAACCACAGCAGUUUGUAUUUU
This 207-nucleotide long non-coding RNA is filed under the name Fukomys damarensis (Damara mole-rat). Its description in RNAcentral is "lncRNA (ENSFDAG00000030932.1)". Lineage: Eukaryota; Metazoa; Chordata; Mammalia; Rodentia; Bathyergidae. The record is from RNAcentral.